GCCCGGCUGGCGGAAUUGGUAGACGCAACGGUUUUAGGUACCGUCGCUGAAAGGUGUGGGGGUUCGAGUCCCUCGCCGGGCACCA
Molecule: transfer RNA, 85 nt
Filed under: Tardiphaga sp. P9-11
Lineage: Bacteria; Pseudomonadati; Pseudomonadota; Alphaproteobacteria; Hyphomicrobiales; Nitrobacteraceae
Also listed under: 1 other name
Description: tRNA-Leu
Rfam family: tRNA
About the family: Transfer RNA (tRNA) molecules are approximately 80 nucleotides in length. Their secondary structure includes four short double-helical elements and three loops (D, anti-codon, and T loops). Further hydrogen bonds mediate the characteristic L-shaped molecular structure. tRNAs have two regions of fundamental functional importance: the anti-codon, which is responsible for specific mRNA codon recognition, and the 3' end, to which the tRNAs corresponding amino acid is attached (by aminoacyl-tRNA synthetases). tRNAs cope with the degeneracy of the genetic code in two manners: having more than one tRNA (with a specific anti-codon) for a particular amino acid; and 'wobble' base-pairing, i.e. permitting non-standard base-pairing at the 3rd anti-codon position.
Source: RNAcentral